Molecule: long non-coding RNA, 249 nt
Filed under: Lathyrus oleraceus (garden pea)
Lineage: Eukaryota; Viridiplantae; Streptophyta; Magnoliopsida; Fabales; Fabaceae
Description: Pisum sativum (pea) long non-coding RNA (PSAT_LNC029015)
Source: RNAcentral
AAGAUACGAGUGAAGGUGAAAGUGAUGCUUCUUCUUCUGAUUAAUGGUUCCUGGCUGACUUAAAGACUGGGAGGUGUGCUGGAAAGCUUGGUGGAAGCUAGUGCUGAUUGAAAGGCUGAUGUUUUUUUUCUGUUUUUGUAUUUUAUGGCAGUCCUUUUGAUGCCUGUUAUGUAAUAUUUAGGGCUCUUAAAGAGUUCCUUGAAUGUGUUCAUUAUCUCAGCUUUCAGCUGUGUAUAAUGUUGGUGUGUA